RNAcentral lists this ribosomal RNA (269 nucleotides) under uncultured prokaryote. RNAcentral's name for it is "partial 16S ribosomal RNA". It matches the Rfam family "Bacterial small subunit ribosomal RNA", at positions 524 to 792 of the family's 1533-position model. The record is from RNAcentral.
UACGGAGGGGGCAAGCGUUGCUCGGAAUUACUGGGCUUAGAGCGGGCGUAGGCGGCCCGGUCAGUCGAAUGUGAAAUCCCUCGGCUCAACCGAGGAAGUGCAUCCGAUACUGCCGGGCUUGAGGCAUUCAGGGGCGACUGGAACUCUCGGUGGAGCGGUGAUAUGCGUAGAUAUCGAGAGGAACGCCAAUGGCGAAGGCAGGUCGCUGGGAAUGUCCUGACGCUGAGGCCCGAAAGCCAGGGGAGCGAACGGGAUUAGAUACCCGCGUA